This is a long non-coding RNA of Felis catus (domestic cat), 5162 nucleotides long. RefSeq lists it as uncharacterized. The transcript is spliced from 4 exons. NCBI's taxonomy places the organism in Eukaryota, Metazoa, Chordata, Mammalia, Carnivora, Felidae. The record is from RefSeq and is a predicted model, not a curated record.
CAAACCACGAGAUCGUGACCUGAGUUGAAGUCGAACGCUUAACCAACUGAGCCCCCCAGUGUUUUUGGUCAGGUCUGCUCCAGGGGUGACCCGUGGCUGCUCAGCCAGACCAGCCUCAGGCGGGCAGAAGUCUCGAAUUGCCUAACAGGGGCUAUUGUGUCAGCUAGAUAUCGAGUGCACGUGGAACAUCAGCGAAUCCAAAAGCGAUGGUUUCAAGAAGCUAAUGCAAUUGAUUACAUUAAUCUGAUUUCAUCCAUCAUCAUCUGAUGAUUGCGAGGGGGAUGCUGGAGGUUGGUCCAGGGGCCCGCGAACGCCGGCGUUGAGUUUCCUGCACUUUUCCCGGUCUUUUCUCCUUGGGCAUCUAUGGUUACAGACACAGGGAGCAUUGAACCUACUUCCAGACACGGAGGAGAACAGACAGGACAGAAAGAAUCACCAGUUGAGUCACGAGCCUGAGUGUUUUUAAUGGGAUUUCUCAGAGGCCCCAGCCAAUGACUCACUCCCAGGUGACUGGCGAGAACUGUGACAGGACCAUUUCUAGAGGACUUUCUGCCAGUAGGUUUGUUUUAUGGUGGACACAUGGCCACCCAAAUAAAAUCAGUCUUCCGUUAGUUAAGAAGGAGGAAAGAAGGGAUAUGGAGAAGAGAAACCGCCGUUUCUGACACGGGUAUGAAUAAAUAAACAAGCCCGGCUUUCCUCGUGCCAUCUCAAUGCUUCAUAAUAAAAAAUUUAGCAUUUACAUAGCACUUUAAACCUUUUCAAGUGAUUUCAUAUCUGUUUCCAUAGUUUUAUAUUAGUUUGCUACAUUUUUCUACUAAAUCACUGGGAAUAUUUGUCACUUCCUAUAAGAACCGGCAUUUUCAUUCCAAUGAUUAAUGAUGUGGUUUUAUGUAUUUCUCCUUGUUAUUCAUAUAAUUUCUUUAACCCAAUUUCCUUCUGAUAGUUUUUCCAUUGCUAGGCUAGAUAUUAAUUUGACAAAAUUUGCUAAAGCCUCUUACAAACGCCAUAGAUCCCAUUAGGAAGUCAUUAUUCAAGACACAAAACAGAAUGCAUCGUACAGAGCUUUUAACAGAGUCGGUAAGCCGGAGGUGAUGGCUGGGGGUUUUUGCUCCAAAUGGGGGGCGGGCCGCAAUUACCUUGGCUGCCCACCACUUCGGGCAAGUGCCAGCACAAUUUAUCGCCAGGUAGAGAAGUCCCUGUCACGGAAAACGGGCACCAAGUGAAAAAGGCAGGAGGGCACCCUUUUCCUUGAUGUCUUUGGAACGAAGCCCUCGAGGCGGUAUCCGCGUGUGUUUCUAUUUCUUUCUCCCUGUCCUCUUGUCUCCCGCGCUUCUAACAGAACCGUCAGCAAGUGACGACUGCGGGAGAAACGUGAACACCGAUCAGGCAGUUCCACCGCGUGUCGGUAGCUCUCACCCUCCCUGGGCGCCGGGUCUCGGCCGUGCCUCCCGGCGCGCUGUCCCCGUACUGUCCCCAUGGCUCGUCUGUGCAGGGGCUGUGCGUCCCCAGUUCGUGUGCCAUAUGUGACCUUCUUCAGAGGCGACGGCCACGGCAGACGCAUCACCAGUGCCUGCCACUCCCACGACCUAAGUCCACGCUUCUCUCAACCUUAGACUCUCUUUCCAAGUCUGAAAUACAACCGGUUGUUGUAGUUCUGUUGCGUUUUUAUGGGCUCUUUUACGUAAAACGCCUGGAGUUUUGAUCCCCUACUUUCCUUGCAGCUCCACUUUGCGUGCGUUUUCCUCCCUCGGAAAUGCCGCCUCGGAGAUAAUUCUUGUUUCCAUUAGAAACAACACACGUGGAACUGCAGGGUUGGUCUACUUCCAACGACUGGUCUCGUUCCUUCCCUUGGGAACGAGGCCCCAGCUGGGAGUCUUGCCCGCCUUUGCUGCACCAGCCUGGGAGACACAGAAACGAAGAACUCUUCCCAGUGCAAUGGAACCAGCAGUCCUAGAGCAAAGCUGCAGAUCUUGUCUAUUCUACGACCUUAGACUCAGCGCACGUGACUUGGCUUUUCUUCCUCCCCACCCCCACCCCCAGUCUCAAGCAGACACAAGGGGCACUUGCCAGACGAUCUCUGGUUUCCUGGGUCUCUGCCCCUCAGGCUAACCAGAGUCCGGCCGGAUCGGAGUGAGCCUGGCAGGGAAUUAAGAAGCGGGUGCCGGCUGACGACCCCGGCCAAGCUGAGGACCCUGGCUGUCCAAACCUUCGCCCAGGCAGGAAGUCCCCACCUUCUCCUUUGUAGCCCACAUUACCCUGUUCAUUUUUUCACAACACUCCGGUAAUUCGUCACAUCUACCUGAUUAUGUUUGUCUGGGUUUAUUGUGUUGCAACGAUUUUGGGGUCAGGAACUGUAUUUUAUUCUCCACGUCACUUGGGCACGGUACGGGGCCAACAAUAAUAGUCAUUAAUUGAACUAAUCGGCGGUAGUUAUUUACUUGUUAAUAUGAUGUUUGUUAUUUGUGGUUAUUUGUUAAUAUCAUACUCCAGUGAGAACCAGAUAUUGUAAAAUGAAUGCGAUUCCACGUAACAGAGGCCCCUUUCCUUUGUUCCGUGUUAUUAGAUGAUGAACUUUGCUUGGUAAGAUACACAUUUUUCCCUGAAGUCUUCCUUUUCUCCUCAAAUUACAUUUGAGAGGAGGGUAGAAUUGGAAAUGCAAAUUUUUUCUAACAACACGCUUCCUAACUUACGGGAUUCGUGUGAUCUCAGUAAGUAAUGCCCCUCUUUUCCUCUAUGGUGUGGGAUGAGUUAAAAGACAGUCAAAAGAGUCAGUUAGAAUUCAGCUGUCACCUUCACGCCUGGGGGUCUGCAUUGGAGGCGGUCUAUUCGAGGCACAGUCAUCCUGGACUUGCAGCCACAUGAGGCCAGCGUCAGAGUGCCGUCUACACAGGCGACGGUAGGAGCCGGACAGAACCCUGGUGGCCUGCAGACAUGCUGGGGGGCUGCUCUCAGAGGGGGUGCCGUCAACUCACCUACUGUCAGGUGAUCUUCUGACUCUUCAUGCUCAACUCCUUCCUCCGCGCCAAACACAGUCAUGUCCCCCAUCAGACGUGUUAAGUUGACAUCCGACAUUUUUCACUGAAAUUUUAAAUAGCUACAAAACACGUAAUUUUGGGCAUAUUGGAACUGGUGACAUCGUAAUAAUAAAAUCGAUACCGAACUUUUUGACAUACAUCCAGGAGCUUCUAACUGCAGCGACUUUAUGCUAACCAUUAUCUAUUUAAAAAUACAUGAGCCGUUACGAGUCUCGGGGUACAGUGAAGCAUCAGACAUGUAUGUUAGCACACGCGUGAGUGUUCUUAUAUGUACCUAUGCAGGUGUGUCUAUAUGUGUCCGAGCGAAUUCUGCUUUAACACGGGGACAUUUUUAUACACUUUCAUUUUUCCCUUGACUUAACACUUCAGUUCCACAGAAUUUCAUCCUAAGCUAUGUUUCUGUUUGAAAUGAUCAAUUAGUACAUAAUAUACACGUUUGUCCGUAUAGAAAUUCAGUGAUUUCCUGUGACCAUAGGACUUUAAGUAGCAAUACUUGUCUUCGAACCCAUGUAUGUAUUGAUUUAUUAUUAAUACGCAAUUCAUCAAAAUAUAAAUACAUUAGGAGUUUGAUGAUCCUAUGACAAAAUAUCAAGUGCUACUGGAAAGCAGUCUUUUCAUGAAACAGACGGAACUCUUUGCCAGUUAGUUUUAUACAUCUACUUUCUGUUGUCCUUAGCCAAGGUUCAUAUAAAGUCUAUUCAAUAUUUUUUUCAAUUUUCACAGAUGCAAGACCUCGGAUUCAUUGCUCUCAACUCAUGAAUAAGAAGGCAGAGUUGUGAGGAGUCCAGGAUGGUGAUGUUGCUUUUUUCUCAGAACUUUCGAAGAUUCCAACAUAUCGUAUUAUCAUCAGAAUGUGUUGUUAACGAUGCAAAUCAGCUGACAGAUGCAUUACAAUUUGGAUUUAUCAAAAACAAAGACUGAAAUCUGGCUGUGACUCAGUGAAAAGAGGUAUCACUCAUUCAUAAAAGUUCUUCCCUUUUUCAAAAUCUGAAAGGUGUAGUUACGAAAAAGAUGUUUUUCCCCAAGAUUAAUCAAACAACUGUUGUUGUUGUAUGAUGGUUAAAGGCACCUCAUUUAAUCCAAAAGUGUCUGCAGGGCUUGCAAACAUCUAAAUAUUGGCCUGGCGGGCAGUUGUCCUGAGGGUGUCAAUUCCUGCAUCACUCUUAUAAUCCAAGCCCUUGGGUCACCGCCUCCUCUAUGCCGACCGUGAGCUUGGCACGUGACUUGUCUUGGCCAACAGGACAAUAGCAAAUGUGACACAAGAGAGACUUGAAAUGUCCUUCGCAUGGGGACGUGCUCGCCCUGGUACUCCAGGAACCCCCCUGCCAUGUGAUCGGAGGCUAGUCUCCCCUGUUGGGUGCCCGUGACCCGGCGGCCAGCAAAGCCAUCACCAGGCAAGACAGCGCGCCUCUCAGAGCCCCGCCGGCACGGCCAGCCGGAUGCGGAUGCGUCCACCAGGGCAGACCAGAUAGACCCGUCCCGGCUCAGGUCGGCAGAGCCAUCCAGCUGCCAGUUGACUGGUGAGCAGCUGUAAAUGGGUGUUGAUAUGACCCUGACAUUUGGGCUGGUUUGUCACACACAACAGCCUGUAACUGAUAAAAACUAUGAGUGAUAAAAGUGUUAAUUUCAACACAUUUUGCCACGACUUCUUCAUAACAUGUCCUCACGGACUGUUCGUAUUGGCUACUUCCAUCAGCUGCCCGCCUUCCUUUUAGUCAAGCCUGUUUCCGUGUCCAUCUCAAUCAGCAAAGUGAGUGUCGUUCUGUGAAUAAAAGUCCGAUUCUCAUUUUUCAAUUUAGGAAAAUGUCUUCAGUACGCAUCACCAACUACAGCUCGUUAGAUAAAUUACAAAACAAGCCAGUAUUUAAAUUUUCUACACGUAACAUGAUUGAUUUAUGUUUUAAAGGAGUCCUUAAAAGAAGAGUCCAUGCAGUUAUUCUUUGCUUAAUUUUUAAUUGUGAAAUAUACUCUGUAGCUAUAAUUUUAACUGUUAAUAAAAGGAAAGAAUGAGAUAAAUGCACGAUAUUCUUUGAUAAAGGCGCAUGUGUGUGUACGAAGUAACGGUGUUCAGAUUUUGGAUAUUGUUAAAUGACCUUAAAUUUUAAAAAUUCAUAACUAAGUCUAUGG